AUGUACAAGCUACGCCCACAAUCGCAUGGCCACAGAUGAGAUAAAGUCUCGGAUAAAGUUGAAAAGAUUAGCUGAAAAAUUGUGUCAGAAAGAAGCUUGCGCCAUUCAAUACUGCCUGCAAGGUAGUAAUUACCAGGAGGAUAAGUGUACAAGGGAGAAACAGGCUCUCAUUGACUGCUGUAAUAAAUUGAGUCAAAAUAUUCUGGAACAUUCUACACACUGUGGCCUCUCAUCAAUAAAAAAGAAAUAAAAUACUAACAAUAGGAUAAUAAUGGACAAUAGUAACAGACAGAAUAAUAGCUUAAUGGAUUAUGUUAAAGCUAAUCGUUCAAAGAGUUUACAGUUUCUAUUAAGAAUCAUUACAUUAACUUGUGGACUAUUGUUUAUAUUAUCAGGAAUAAUUGUUUCACCAUAUACUGGUGUGUCCUCCUAUUAUUAUGCUUUCCUUUCUUCUUUGCUCACUUUUGGUAUUCAACUCAACAAGAGAAUGACAGAGAACCAGGCAAG
Molecule: long non-coding RNA, 507 nt
Organism: Amphimedon queenslandica
Lineage: Eukaryota; Metazoa; Porifera; Demospongiae; Haplosclerida; Niphatidae
Exons: 4
Source: RefSeq, a predicted model, not a curated record